UUGGUACUUGGAGAGUGGUUAUCCCUGUCCUGUUCGUUUUACUCAUGUCGAAUCGUACAGGGUCAUCCACUUUUUCAGUAUCAA
MicroRNA precursor from Suricata suricatta (meerkat), 84 nucleotides. The record is from Ensembl. Lineage: Eukaryota; Metazoa; Chordata; Mammalia; Carnivora; Herpestidae.